UUAAGUUCAGCGGGUAGUCCUACCUGAUUUGAGGUCAAGAUUGUCAAUACAGGUAAGGUUUUAGAAAGCAGCAUUAAGCAGACGUCUAGGAUGUAGAUAUUUAUCACACCUGUAGACAGUUCCACCAAGGUACUGCUAAUUAAUUUCAGGGGAGCAGACUCCAAGGGCCCACAACAAUUUUCCCCCCCCAAGUCCAAGCC
This 200-nucleotide unclassified non-coding RNA is filed under the name Inocybe sp. RNAcentral describes it as "partial internal transcribed spacer 2". The record is from RNAcentral. Lineage: Eukaryota; Fungi; Basidiomycota; Agaricomycetes; Agaricales; Inocybaceae.